RNAcentral lists this ribosomal RNA (452 nucleotides) under uncultured bacterium. RNAcentral's name for it is "bacterial SSU rRNA". It matches the Rfam family "Bacterial small subunit ribosomal RNA", at positions 29 to 507 of the family's 1533-position model. The record is from RNAcentral.
AACGAACGCUUGCGGCGCGCCUAAUACACGCAAGUCGAACGCCGUAGCAAUACGGAGUGGCGCACGGGUGAGUAACACGUGGAUAAUCUGCCCUUCAGUGGGGAAUAACCAACCGAAAGGUUGGCUAACACCGCAUGAGACCACAGUACCUGCGGGUACAGAGGUUAAAAUUUAUUGCUGAAGGAUGAGUCUGCGCGGGAUUAGCUAGUUGGUGGGGUAAUGGCCUACCAAGGCAACGAUCCCUAGCUGGUCUGAGAGGAUGACCAGUCACACUGGAACUGAGACACGGUCCAGACUCCUACGGGAGGCAGCAGUAGGGAAUAUUGCGCAAUGGACGAAAGUCUGACGCAGCGACGCCGCGUGAGUGAUGAAGGCCUUAGGGUCGUAAAGCUCUGUUGAAUGGGAAGAAAAAAAUGACGGUACCAUUCGAGGAAGGACCGGCUAACUUCGUG